Molecule: transfer RNA, 73 nt
Filed under: Dictyocaulus viviparus (bovine lungworm)
Lineage: Eukaryota; Metazoa; Nematoda; Chromadorea; Rhabditida; Metastrongylidae
Rfam family: tRNA
About the family: Transfer RNA (tRNA) molecules are approximately 80 nucleotides in length. Their secondary structure includes four short double-helical elements and three loops (D, anti-codon, and T loops).
Source: Rfam by way of RNAcentral
GCCAUGGUAGUGUAAUAGAUCAACACGACAGAACGAAUAUCUAUAAGUGCGGAUUCGAGUCCCACCCGUGGCU